CGACGUCUUCAGGGCGGGGCGAAAUUCCCCACCGGCGGUAGGCCUUCCAAGGCGAGCCCGCGAGCGCUUCCGGCCAUGCCGGAAGGUCAGCAGAUCCGGUCGAAUGCCGGAGCCGACGGUUGGAAGCGGGCGACCGCUUCCUCACAGUCCGGAUAAAGAGAAGACGGCA
This 169-nucleotide non-coding RNA is filed under the name Rhodanobacter spathiphylli. RNAcentral describes it as "Rhodanobacter sp. FMN sequence". It matches the Rfam family "FMN riboswitch aptamer (RFN element)". Rfam says of the family: The RFN element is a highly conserved domain that is found frequently in the 5'-untranslated regions of prokaryotic mRNAs that encode for flavin mononucleotide (FMN) biosynthesis and transport proteins. This element is a metabolite-dependent riboswitch that directly binds FMN in the absence of proteins. RNAcentral also lists the same sequence under 1 other name. The record is from RNAcentral. Lineage: Bacteria; Pseudomonadati; Pseudomonadota; Gammaproteobacteria; Lysobacterales; Rhodanobacteraceae.